This 226-nucleotide non-coding RNA is filed under the name Klebsiella pneumoniae. The record is from RNAcentral. Lineage: Bacteria; Pseudomonadati; Pseudomonadota; Gammaproteobacteria; Enterobacterales; Enterobacteriaceae.
AAAGUCCCCGACCAUUGAAGGACCAGCAAUCCACAAGGUCCCCGAGUCAUGCGUUGCAUACCGCGAGGUAUGGGGCGAAGCGUUGACAGGGGUGUUGACAGGCCAGCCAUUGAGCCACGAAAUCUAUAUUAAAUUACCGGGUGCCGACGUUGUACUGUUAACGGAAGGCAACAUCAUAGGGUGCAAUACUGCGAGUGCCACAUGGACCCGGCGGGGUCUGAGACCC